CCAGCCUGCAGCCGCUCCGCCGCUCGCUGCUAAAACCGCACCAAGAGCGCACCACGAACGUCCUCGUCCCGCUGUGGGCGGCGGGGAGGCGAGGAAGGAGGACCCCCGAGCGCCUGCGCUGCCUGGGGCUGACUUGGGAAGCCCUCGGGUGAGGUCGACGGCGCCGCGUGGCUCCGGCUCCCCCACCUGCGCCAGGAGGAGGAGGAGGAGGAGGAGAGCGGCUUCAGCUCCGCUCCUCGAAGCAACAGCUGGGAAGAGGGAGGAGAAAAUGUCUCAGACGCCUGAUGAGCGCUGUUGACAGCGCGCCCGAUGUUUGUACCGCCCUGCCCAGGCAUGGGGCUGUCGUUUGCCUUCCCCGCUGUCGUCGUCUGCGUGCCGAAGGAGCGCUGGUGCCUGUCCUGAUGGACCCCGAGCCCCAGCGCUCUCGCCUCUAGGCGUGGAGAACGUGGAUGCAAGAGCUGAAAUCUGAAAUUUAAGCACUUCAAAUUACAGGCGCUGAACCCCCCUGGUGCGGGUGAUGGGUGCAGGGGAGGACUCGUUAAUGCGGCGCACAGAAGCACCUCUGUAGGCGAGGAAAUCUCAAGGCAGGGAAUUUUAAGGGCUGUGGGGUUUAGCUUGCGACGGAGAGGGAGCCGAGCGGGACUGCUCGCGGGUGCUCGACCUGCCCGCAAGGAGCCGGGCGCAGCGCUGGGCUGGAGAGAGCCGAGGACAGCCGAGAUUUCGCUGCCGACGUUUGGGCGACCAAAGCCCAAAAUCCCCGACGGCUCCCGCGGUUACGAACGUUCCCGGAGGGGAAAAGGAUCACGCCAGGGAGAGGCAGCUUGCCACCCAUCGAUCGGGCCACGAGCGAGGCGGCUCGGUCACUCGCUGCGCCGGGGUGACCUUGGCAGCGUGCGUGGCUCCUGCGAGGCUCCAGCCUCCUGCGAGGCUGCGCUCAGCACCCGCCUUCCCAGUGCCGGCCUCCUUCCUGCUGCUCCUGGAUGCUGCCUGCGAAGCGGCAGGCUGCUGUCUCUGCAGGAGCUCCGGCACGGGGCUGAUCCCUUGCCGCUGAUCCGGGGCUGUUUGCAGCACAGCCUUGGGUUUCGUUUCGCCGCCACCUUCGCCUGCCGCUCUGGUUAAGCCUCUGCAGUGUGUGUGUGUGUGUGUGUGUGUGUGCGGGGAGGGAACGGCUUCUAUUUUAAUAGCUGUUCCUGGCAAAAAAAAAAAAAAAAAAAGAUGCUU
Molecule: long non-coding RNA, 1221 nt
Organism: Cygnus olor (mute swan)
Lineage: Eukaryota; Metazoa; Chordata; Aves; Anseriformes; Anatidae
Exons: 2
Source: RefSeq, a predicted model, not a curated record